CUGACAAACCCUGAAGACUGAAGGCCUCUCUCUAUGCCUAGAAUAGGUACAGCAUAUGAAAUGUAGAGCCAGUCUUCCCCUAUACUGCCUCACCAAAGUGCCUUAGCCCUGUCUUGAUGGGAUCUCCUCUGGGAUGAAAAUGAAGUGCAGUGUCCAUGGGCCAUUCACUCUUUGACCCUC
Molecule: small RNA, 180 nt
Filed under: Chrysemys picta bellii (western painted turtle)
Lineage: Eukaryota; Metazoa; Chordata; Testudines; Emydidae
Description: TUC338 (ENSCPBG00000003005.1)
Source: RNAcentral